UAUCUUAAUCCUCUAUUAAUACUGAGUAAUUCUAUAUUAUUAUAGAAAUUUUUAUGUUAAAACUAGUAACAAGAAGAAGACUCUUCUCUUUAAUGUAAGUGUAAAUCAGAAAGGACAAACCACUGAUAAUUAACGUCACUGAAACCGAAAUAGAAACUCAUCAAGAAAAAUCUACUUUCAUUAACGUUAACCUAACACAAGGACAUUUCAAGAAAGAUUAAAAGAAAAAGAAGGAACUCGGCAAACAUUAACCUCGCCUGUUUACCAAAAACAUCGCCUCUUGACUCUUAUAAGAGGUCCAGCCUGCCCAGUGACCAUGUUCAACGGCCGCGGUAUCCUAACCGUGCGAAGGUAGCGUAAUCACUUGUUCUUUAAAUGUGGACUAGUAUGAAUGGCACCACGAAGGUUAUACUGUCUCCUUUUUCUAAUCAGUGAAACUAAUCUCCCCGUGAAGAAGCGAGGAUAUACCUAUAAGACGAGAAGACCCUAUGGAGCUUUAAACAACACAGCAAUUACCUGCUAAACUAAGAAGUUUCUGAACAUUUUCAAUCUUUUAAGUAAUCUGACUGCAAGUUUUUGGUUGGGGUGACCACGGAGCAUAACACAACCUCCAUGUUGAAAGAAUUCUUUCUAAGCCAAGAACAACCUUUCUAAGCAUCAACAUAUUGACAUCCAUUGACCCAAUACAUUUGACCAACGAACCAAGUUACCCUAGGGAUAACAGCGCAAUCCACUUCAAGAGCUCCUAUCGACAAGUGGGUUUACGACCUCGAUGUUGGAUCAGGGUAUCCAGUGGUGCAGCCGC
RNAcentral lists this ribosomal RNA (805 nucleotides) under Rhinella marina (marine toad). RNAcentral's name for it is "partial 16S ribosomal RNA". It matches the Rfam family "Bacterial large subunit ribosomal RNA", at positions 1483 to 2562 of the family's 2925-position model. The record is from RNAcentral. Lineage: Eukaryota; Metazoa; Chordata; Amphibia; Anura; Bufonidae.